RNAcentral lists this ribosomal RNA (433 nucleotides) under uncultured bacterium. RNAcentral describes it as "partial 16S ribosomal RNA". It matches the Rfam family "Bacterial small subunit ribosomal RNA", at positions 29 to 507 of the family's 1533-position model. The record is from RNAcentral.
AACGAACGCUGGCGGCAUGCCUAACACGUGCAAGUCGAACGAGACCUUCGGGUCUAGUGGCGCACGGGUGCGUAACGCGUGGGAACCUGCCCUUAGGUUCGGAAUAACUCUCCGUAAGGGGUGCUAAUACCGGAUAAUGUCCUCGGACCAAAGAUUUAUCGCCCUUGGAUGGGCCCGCGUUGGUUUAGCUAGUGGGUAGGGUAAAAGCCUACCAAGGCGACGAUCCAUAGCUGGUCUGAGAGGAUGGUCAGCGACACUGGGGCUAGGACACGGCCCAGACUCCUACGGGAGGCAGGAGUGGGGAAUACUGGAAUAUGGGCGAAAGCCUGAUCCAGCAAGGCCGCGUGAGUGAUGAAGGCCGUAGGGUUGUAAAGCUCUUUUACCCGGGAUGAUAAUGACGGUACCGGGAGAAUAAGCUCCGGCUAACUCCGUG